RNAcentral lists this ribosomal RNA (2902 nucleotides) under Klebsiella pneumoniae. RNAcentral describes it as "23S ribosomal RNA". It matches the Rfam family "Bacterial large subunit ribosomal RNA". The record is from RNAcentral. RNAcentral also lists the same sequence under 1 other name. Lineage: Bacteria; Pseudomonadati; Pseudomonadota; Gammaproteobacteria; Enterobacterales; Enterobacteriaceae.
GGUUAAGCGACUAAGCGUACACGGUGGAUGCCCUGGCAGUCAGAGGCGAUGAAGGACGUGCUAAUCUGCGAAAAGCGUCGGUAAGGUGAUAUGAACCGUUAUAACCGGCGAUGUCCGAAUGGGGAAACCCAGUGCAAUUCGUUGCACUAUCGUUAACUGAAUACAUAGGUUAACGAGGCGAACCGGGGGAACUGAAACAUCUAAGUACCCCGAGGAAAAGAAAUCAACCGAGAUUCCCCCAGUAGCGGCGAGCGAACGGGGAGCAGCCCAGAGUCUGAAUCAGCUUGUGUGUUAGUGGAACGGUCUGGAAAGUCCGACGGUACAGGGUGAUAGUCCCGUACACCAAAAUGCACAGGCUGUGAACUCGAAGAGUAGGGCGGGACACGUGGUAUCCUGUCUGAAUAUGGGGGGACCAUCCUCCAAGGCUAAAUACUCCUGACUGACCGAUAGUGAACCAGUACCGUGAGGGAAAGGCGAAAAGAACCCCGGCGAGGGGAGUGAAAAAGAACCUGAAACCGUGUACGUACAAGCAGUGGGAGCACCUUCGGGUGUGACUGCGUACCUUUUGUAUAAUGGGUCAGCGACUUAUAUUCUGUAGCAAGGUUAACCGUAUAGGGGAGCCGCAGGGAAACCGAGUCUUAACUGGGCGUUAAGUUGCAGGGUAUAGACCCGAAACCCGGUGAUCUAGCCAUGGGCAGGUUGAAGGUUGGGUAACACUAACUGGAGGACCGAACCGACUAAUGUUGAAAAAUUAGCGGAUGACUUGUGGCUGGGGGUGAAAGGCCAAUCAAACCGGGAGAUAGCUGGUUCUCCCCGAAAGCUAUUUAGGUAGCGCCUCGUGAACUCAUCUUCGGGGGUAGAGCACUGUUUCGGCUAGGGGGUCAUCCCGACUUACCAACCCGAUGCAAACUACGAAUACCGAAGAAUGUUAUCACGGGAGACACACGGCGGGUGCUAACGUCCGUCGUGAAGAGGGAAACAACCCAGACCGCCAGCUAAGGUCCCAAAGUCAUGGUUAAGUGGGAAACGAUGUGGGAAGGCACAGACAGCCAGGAUGUUGGCUUAGAAGCAGCCAUCAUUUAAAGAAAGCGUAAUAGCUCACUGGUCGAGUCGGCCUGCGCGGAAGAUGUAACGGGGCUAAACCAUGCACCGAAGCUGCGGCAGCGACACUAUGUGUUGUUGGGUAGGGGAGCGUUCUGUAAGCCUGCGAAGGUGUGCUGUGAGGCAUGCUGGAGGUAUCAGAAGUGCGAAUGCUGACAUAAGUAACGAUAAAGCGGGUGAAAAGCCCGCUCGCCGGAAGACCAAGGGUUCCUGUCCAACGUUAAUCGGGGCAGGGUGAGUCGACCCCUAAGGCGAGGCCGAAAGGCGUAGUCGAUGGGAAACAGGUUAAUAUUCCUGUACUUGGUGUUACUGCGAAGGGGGGACGGAGAAGGCUAUGUUAGCCGGGCGACGGUUGUCCCGGUUUAAGCAUGUAGGCUGGUUGUCCAGGCAAAUCCGGAUAAUCAAGGCUGAGGUGUGAUGACGAGGCACUACGGUGCUGAAGUAACAAAUGCCCUGCUUCCAGGAAAAGCCUCUAAGCAUCAGGUAACAUUAAAUCGUACCCCAAACCGACACAGGUGGUCAGGUAGAGAAUACCAAGGCGCUUGAGAGAACUCGGGUGAAGGAACUAGGCAAAAUGGUGCCGUAACUUCGGGAGAAGGCACGCUGGUGUGUAGGUGAAGUCCCUGCGGAUGGAGCUGAGACCAGUCGAAGAUACCAGCUGGCUGCAACUGUUUAUUAAAAACACAGCACUGUGCAAACACGAAAGUGGACGUAUACGGUGUGACGCCUGCCCGGUGCCGGAAGGUUAAUUGAUGGGGUUAUCCGUAAGGAGAAGCUCUUGAUCGAAGCCCCGGUAAACGGCGGCCGUAACUAUAACGGUCCUAAGGUAGCGAAAUUCCUUGUCGGGUAAGUUCCGACCUGCACGAAUGGCGUAAUGAUGGCCAGGCUGUCUCCACCCGAGACUCAGUGAAAUUGAACUCGCUGUGAAGAUGCAGUGUACCCGCGGCAAGACGGAAAGACCCCGUGAACCUUUACUAUAGCUUGACACUGAACAUUGAGCCUUGAUGUGUAGGAUAGGUGGGAGGCUUUGAAGCGUGGACGCCAGUCUGCGUGGAGCCAACCUUGAAAUACCACCCUUUAAUGUUUGAUGUUCUAACGUUGGCCCCUGACCGGGGUUGCGGACAGUGUCUGGUGGGUAGUUUGACUGGGGCGGUCUCCUCCCAAAGCGUAACGGAGGAGCACGAAGGUUAGCUAAUCCUGGUCGGACAUCAGGAGGUUAGUGCAAUGGCAUAAGCUAGCUUGACUGCGAGCGUGACGGCGCGAGCAGGUGCGAAAGCAGGUCAUAGUGAUCCGGUGGUUCUGAAUGGAAGGGCCAUCGCUCAACGGAUAAAAGGUACUCCGGGGAUAACAGGCUGAUACCGCCCAAGAGUUCAUAUCGACGGCGGUGUUUGGCACCUCGAUGUCGGCUCAUCACAUCCUGGGGCUGAAGUAGGUCCCAAGGGUAUGGCUGUUCGCCAUUUAAAGUGGUACGCGAGCUGGGUUUAGAACGUCGUGAGACAGUUCGGUCCCUAUCUGCCGUGGGCGCUGGAGAAUUGAGGGGGGCUGCUCCUAGUACGAGAGGACCGGAGUGGACGCAUCACUGGUGUUCGGGUUGUCAUGCCAAUGGCACUGCCCGGUAGCUAAAUGCGGAAGAGAUAAGUGCUGAAAGCAUCUAAGCACGAAACUUGCCCCGAGAUGAGUUCUCCCUGAGACUUUAAGUCUCCUGAAGGAACGUUGAAGACGACGACGUUGAUAGGCCGGGUGUGUAAGCGCAGCGAUGCGUUGAGCUAACCGGUACUAAUGAACCGUGAGGCUUAACCUU